Regulatory RNA element from Acidaminococcus intestini RyC-MR95, 150 nucleotides. It matches the Rfam family "glmS glucosamine-6-phosphate activated ribozyme aptamer". From Rfam's summary of the family: This entry contains a glucosamine-6-phosphate activated ribozyme that is found in the mRNA for GlmS. GlmS is an enzyme that uses fructose-6-phosphate and glutamine to generate glucosamine-6-phosphate. Lineage: Bacteria; Bacillati; Bacillota; Negativicutes; Acidaminococcales; Acidaminococcaceae. The record is from Rfam.
GCAAGGCCUAGAGCGCAAGUGCCUAUCCUGAUAGGCAGACGAGGAAGAGGCUUAUCGAACCGUCAGCGGAUACCUCUCGGUGUGCUGCAACCGUAAACAGAUGACAAACCUUUCCGGUAACGGGAAGAACAGAGAGUCUGGGGCAGACGG